GGGACACGUGGUAUCCUGUCUGAAUAUGGGGGGACCAUCCUCCAAGGCUAAAUACUCCUGACUGACCGAUAGUGAACCAGUACCGUGAGGGAAAGGCGAAAAGAACCCCGGCGAGGGGAGUGAAAAAGAACCUGAAACCGUGUACGUACAAGCAGUGGGAGCACAGAGCAAUCUGUGUGACUGCGUACCUUUUGUAUAAUGGGUCAGCGACUUAUAUUCUGUAGCAAGGUUAACCGAAUAGGGGAGCCGAAGGGAAACCGAGUCUUAACUGGGCGUUAAGUUGCAGGGUAUAGACCCGAAACCCGGUGAUCUAGCCAUGGGCAGGUUGAAGGUUGGGUAACACUAACUGGAGGACCGAACCGACUAAUGUUGAAAAAUUAGCGGAUGACUUGUGGCUGGGGGUGAAAGGCCAAUCAAACCGGGAGAUAGCUGGUUCUCCCCGAAAGCUAUUUAGGUAGCGCCUCGUGAAUUCAUCUCCGGGGGUAGAGCACUGUUUCGGCAAGGGGGUCAUCCCGACUUACCAACCCGAUGCAAACUGCGAAUACCGGAGAAUGUUAUCACGGGAGACACACGGCGGGUGCUAACGUCCGUCGUGAAGAGGGAAACAACCCAGACCGCCAGCUAAGGUCCCAAAGUCAUGGUUAAGUGGGAAACGAUGUGGGAAGGCCCAGACAGCCAGGAUGUUGGCUUAGAAGCAGCCAUCAUUUAAAGAAAGCGUAAUAGCUCACUGGUCGAGUCGGCCUGCGCGGAAGAUGUAACGGGGCUAAACCAUGCACCGAAGCUGCGGCAGCGACGCUUAUGCGUUGUUGGGUAGGGGAGCGUUCUGUAAGCCUGUGAAGGUGUGCUGUGAGGCAUGCUGGAGGUAUCAGAAGUGCGAAUGCUGACAUAAGUAACGAUAAAGCGGGUGAAAAGCCCGCUCGCCGGAAGACCAAGGGUUCCUGUCCAACGUUAAUCGGGGCAGGGUGAGUCGACCCCUAAGGCGAGGCCGAAAGGCGUAGUCGAUGGGAAACAGGUUAAUAUUCCUGUACUUGGUGUUACUGCGAAGGGGGGACGGAGAAGGCUAUGUUGGCCGGGCGACGGUUGUCCCGGUUUAAGCGUGUAGGCUGGUUUUCCAGGCAAAUCCGGAAAAUCAAGGCUGAGGCGUGAUGACGAGGCACUACGGUGCUGAAGCAACAAAUGCCCUGCUUCCAGGAAAAGCCUCUAAGCAUCAGGUAACAUCAAAUCGUACCCCAAACCGACACAGGUGGUCAGGUAGAGAAUACCAAGGCGCUUGAGAGAACUCGGGUGAAGGAACUAGGCAAAAUGGUGCCGUAACUUCGGGAGAA
This 1325-nucleotide ribosomal RNA is filed under the name Escherichia coli. RNAcentral's name for it is "partial 23S ribosomal RNA". It matches the Rfam family "Bacterial large subunit ribosomal RNA", at positions 419 to 1744 of the family's 2925-position model. Lineage: Bacteria; Pseudomonadati; Pseudomonadota; Gammaproteobacteria; Enterobacterales; Enterobacteriaceae. The record is from RNAcentral.